RNAcentral lists this ribosomal RNA (491 nucleotides) under uncultured bacterium. Its description in RNAcentral is "partial 16S ribosomal RNA". It matches the Rfam family "Bacterial small subunit ribosomal RNA", at positions 28 to 506 of the family's 1533-position model. The record is from RNAcentral.
GGUGAACGCUGGCGGUAGGCCUAACACAUGCAAGUCGAACGGCAGCACAGUAAGAGCUUGCUCUUACGGGUGGCGAGUGGCGGACGGGUGAGGAAUACAUCGGAAUCUACUUUUUCGUGGGGGAUAACGUAGGGAAACUUACGCUAAUACCGCAUACGACCUACGGGUGAAAGCAGGGGAUCUUCGGACCUUGCGCGAUUGAAUGAGCCGAUGUCGGAUUAGCUAGUUGGCGGGGUAAAGGCCCACCAAGGCGACGAUCCGUAGCUGGUCUGAGAGGAUGAUCAGCCAAACUGGAACUGAGACACGGUCCAGACUCCUACGGGAGGCAGCAGUGGGGAAUAUUGGACAAUGGGCGCAAGCCUGAUCCAGCCAUACCGCGUGGGUGAAGAAGGCCUUCGGGUGGUAAAGCCCUUUUGUUGGGAAAGAAAAGCAGCAGGUUAAUACCCCGCUGUUCUGACGGUACCCAAAGAAUAAGCACCGGCUAACUUCGU